Molecule: ribosomal RNA, 410 nt
Filed under: Hypotermes obscuriceps
Lineage: Eukaryota; Metazoa; Arthropoda; Insecta; Blattodea; Termitidae
Description: partial 12S ribosomal RNA
Source: RNAcentral
CCCUAUUAUUUUGAGUGUUAAUGUUUUUACCUGAGUAGUAUUAGUUGUGUUCUUGAAACUUAAAGAAUUUGGCGGUAUCCUACUCCGUUCAGAGGAAUCUGUCUCGUUAUCGAUAGUCCGCGUUGGACCUUACUUAGGGUAAUUUUGGUUUGUAUACCGCCGUUUAUUGAUUAUCUUUUUAGAGUUUCUGAAUUUUCUGGUUUCUUUAUUUUGAUUUAUUGCAGGUCAAGGUGCAGCUUUUUCUAAGUGUAAUAUGAUGGAUUACAGUGUUAUGUGUUGUUUGGAUUGUUUGUUUGAAUACUGGCAUGAAAUUGGAUUUGGUUGUAAUGUUUUGUAGAUUGUUUUCAUGAUAGUUGGUUCUAGGAUAUGUACACAUUGCCCGUCGCUCUCAUUUUCUGGUGAGAUAAGUC